CCUACGGGAGGCAGCAGUCAAGAAUCAUUCACAAUGGGGGAAACCCUGAUGGUGCGACGCCGCGUGGGGGAAUGAAGGUCUUCGGAUUGUAAACCCCUGUCAUGUGGGAGCAAAUUAAAAAGAUAGUACCACAAGAGGAAGAGACGGCUAACUCUGUGCCAGCAGCCGCGGGAAUACAGAGGUCUCAAGCGUUGUUCGGAAUCACUGGGCGUAAAGCGUGCGUAGGCUGUUUCGUAAGUCGUGUGUGAAAGGCGCGGGCUCAACCCGCGGACGGCACAUGAUACUGCGAGACUAGAGUAAUGGAGGGGGAACCGGAAUGCUCGGUGUAGCAGUGAAAUGCGUAGAUAUCGAGAGGAACACUCGUGGCGAAGGCGGGUUCCUGGACAUUAACUGACGCUGAGGCACGAAGGCCAGGGGAGCGAAAGGGAUUAGAUACCCCGGUAGUC
This 446-nucleotide ribosomal RNA is filed under the name uncultured bacterium. Its description in RNAcentral is "partial 16S ribosomal RNA". It matches the Rfam family "Bacterial small subunit ribosomal RNA", at positions 338 to 795 of the family's 1533-position model. The record is from RNAcentral.